UGGAAACACGGGGGUGCCCCUUCGGGGGAGCCUGGAGACAGGUGCUGCAUGGCUGUUGUCAGCUCGUGUCGUGAGAUGUUGGGUUAAGUCCCGCAACGAGCGCAGCCCUUGCCUUUAGUUGCCAGCAUUCAGUUGGGCACUCUAAAGGGACUGCCGGUGUAAAACCGGAGGAAGGUGGGGAUGACGUCAAGUCCUCAUGGCCCUUAUGCCCAGGGCUACACACGUGCUACAAUGGCCGGUACAAAGGGCAGCGAGCCCGCGAGGGUCAGCAAAUCCCAAAAAGCCGGUCUCAGUUCGGAUCGGAGUCUGCAACCCGACUUCGUGAAGGUGGAAUCGCUAGUAAUCCCGGAUCAGCAUGCCGGGGUGAAUACGUUCCCGGGCCUUGUACACACCGCCCGUCACACCACGAAAGCUGG
This 416-nucleotide ribosomal RNA is filed under the name uncultured bacterium. RNAcentral describes it as "bacterial SSU rRNA". It matches the Rfam family "Bacterial small subunit ribosomal RNA", at positions 1001 to 1414 of the family's 1533-position model. The record is from RNAcentral.